Long non-coding RNA from Selaginella moellendorffii, 436 nucleotides. RefSeq lists it as uncharacterized. The transcript is spliced from 2 exons. Lineage: Eukaryota; Viridiplantae; Streptophyta; Lycopodiopsida; Selaginellales; Selaginellaceae. The record is from RefSeq and is a predicted model, not a curated record.
AGUAGGCACGACUUCCACGUGGUAACAUCCAACGGCUGACAUUCAAACGGUAGCUGCUGACUUGGCAAAAAUAAAGGCGCGACGCUUUACCGUGAUCACAUUAAAGAGGAGCUCUUUGGUUGAGAAAGAAGAGACAUUGGAGGAAGGAAACGAUGGUGCGAUCGACAAGAACACGAAGCCGCGCGGCUGCCAGGGCGGCGCCGCCAUCGCUGAUGCGCAGGAGGAGGCGACGACGCAGACGCCGAAGAAGAAGAAGAAGACACGCCAAGCCUGCGUCAGGCGCUAGUGGAUCCUCACGGAGUGACGAGUAAAUCCAUCGCUAUCGACUCGACCGCAUCGAUGAUCUCAUCCAUAGCAAGCAAAAGAAAAUUUCUUCCAAUGUAUCAAUCCAUCGCCAGGGAAUAAAAUAGCGAGCUCGCCUCGUCGUCUUUGCUUU